GCGGGGGUCGCCAAGUCAGGUCAAAGGCGCAGCCCUGAGGCGGCUGUCCCGUAGGGGUUCGUGGGUUCAAAUCCCACCCCCCGCACCA
RNAcentral lists this transfer RNA (88 nucleotides) under Candidatus Bathyarchaeota archaeon. RNAcentral's name for it is "tRNA-Leu". It matches the Rfam family "tRNA". Rfam says of the family: Transfer RNA (tRNA) molecules are approximately 80 nucleotides in length. Their secondary structure includes four short double-helical elements and three loops (D, anti-codon, and T loops). The record is from RNAcentral. Lineage: Archaea; Thermoproteati; Candidatus Bathyarchaeota. RNAcentral also lists the same sequence under 1 other name.